RNAcentral lists this ribosomal RNA (305 nucleotides) under uncultured bacterium. Its description in RNAcentral is "bacterial SSU rRNA". It matches the Rfam family "Bacterial small subunit ribosomal RNA", at positions 337 to 635 of the family's 1533-position model. The record is from RNAcentral.
GCCUACGGGGGGCAGCAGUAGGGAAUUUUCGUCAAAGGGCGCAAGCCUGAACGAGCAAUGCCGCGUGAACGAGGAAGGUCUUCGGAUCGUAAAGUUCUGUUGAAGGGGAAAAAGAGCGGAGAGAGGAAAUGGUCUCCGAUUGAUAUUACCCUUCGAGGAAGUCACGGCUAACUACGUGCCAGCAGCCGCGGUAAUACGUAGGUGGCGAGCGUUAUCCGGAAUGAUUGAGCGUAAAGGGUGCGUAGGCGGCCUGCUAAGUCUGGAGUGAAAGGUACCGGCUCAACCGGUACAGGCUCUGGAAACUG